Molecule: ribosomal RNA, 255 nt
Filed under: uncultured bacterium
Lineage: Bacteria
Description: partial 16S ribosomal RNA
Rfam family: Bacterial small subunit ribosomal RNA
Source: RNAcentral
UACGUAGGGGGCAAGCGUUGUCCGGAAUCAUUGGGCGUAAAGAGCGUGUAGGUGGCUCGGUAAGUCCGCUGUGAAAGUCCAGGGCUCAACCCUGGAAAGCCGGUGGAAACUGUCGAGCUCGAGUCCGGAAGAGGCGAGUGGAAUUCCUGGUGUAGCGGUGAAAUGCGCAGAUAUCAGGAGGAACACCAAUGGCGAAGGCAGCUCGCUGGGACGGUACUGACACUGAGACGCGAAAGCGUGGGGGAGCAAACAGGG